Molecule: ribosomal RNA, 301 nt
Filed under: uncultured bacterium
Lineage: Bacteria
Description: partial 16S ribosomal RNA
Rfam family: Bacterial small subunit ribosomal RNA
Source: RNAcentral
CAGUCGCCACGGUAAUACGUAGGUGGCAAGCGUUGUCCGGAAUUAUUGGGCGUAAAGGGCUCGCAGGCGGUUUCUUAAGUCUGAUGUGAAAGCCCCCGGCUCAACCGGGGAGGGUCAUUGGAAACUGGGAAACUUGAGUGCAGAAGAGGAGAGUGGAACUCCACGUGUAGCGGUGAAAUGCGUAGAGAUGUGGAGGAACACCAGUGGCGAAGGCGACUCUCUGGUCUGUAACUGACGCUGAGGAGCGAAAGCGUGGGGAGCGAACAGGAUUAGAUACCCCAGUAGUCCCUGUCUCUUAUAC